CUGAGUUGCAAAACUCUCAACCCUUCUGUGAACCUACCUUUUGUUGGCAUGUCCCAAGUUGUUUCGGCGGGUAUGGGCUUCGGCCCUGCCCGCCGGCAGCCUGGGAUAUAUUUUAUAUUCUAUGUUUUUUAGUGGUUAUCUGAGUAUCAUACGAAAUGUCA
This 161-nucleotide unclassified non-coding RNA is filed under the name uncultured Ascomycota. Its description in RNAcentral is "sequence contains ITS1". Lineage: Eukaryota; Fungi; Ascomycota. The record is from RNAcentral.